UAAGGCGGCACGCCGCGCUCCACCCGUCCUGUUCCCCUUGCCUGCACAAACUGUCCCAUCUGCCCCAUCCGCGAGCCCUACAACCUGGGUCGGCACGGCAGGGCCUCCUCACCGAUAAGGCGGCACGCGGCGGUGAGCGCUGCGUAGACGACGAGGUAAUUGUCCGACCUGAGGUCCUUCUGGAUGGUGUUGACCACGAGGAUGACGAGGUCGUGGCGUUCGUCGAGAAAGAGCGCGACGGCGCGGUAACCGGUCCGCUUGAGCGGGAGCGACUCGUCGUGAGUCAUCUUAACAGCGUGGAUGUGGCAGAAGGAGGCGUCGUGGCCAAGCAUCUCGACGUAGACGAGGCGG
RNAcentral lists this unclassified non-coding RNA (351 nucleotides) under Zea mays. RNAcentral's name for it is "misc RNA Zm00001eb421660". Lineage: Eukaryota; Viridiplantae; Streptophyta; Magnoliopsida; Poales; Poaceae. The record is from RNAcentral.